RNAcentral lists this ribosomal RNA (253 nucleotides) under uncultured bacterium. RNAcentral's name for it is "partial 16S ribosomal RNA". It matches the Rfam family "Bacterial small subunit ribosomal RNA", at positions 524 to 776 of the family's 1533-position model. The record is from RNAcentral.
UACGGAGGGGGCUAGCGUUGUUCGGAAUUACUGGGCGUAAAGCGCGCGUAGGCGGCUUUGUAAGUUAGAGGUGAAAGCCCGGGGCUCAACUCCGGAAUUGCCUUUAAGACUGCAUCGCUAGAAUUGUGGAGAGGUAAGUGGAAUUCCGAGUGUAGAGGUGAAAUUCGUAGAUAUUCGGAAGAACACCAGUGGCGAAGGCGACUUACUGGACACAAAUUGACGCUGAGGUGCGAAAGCGUGGGGAGCAAACAGG